Molecule: transfer RNA, 74 nt
Filed under: Pseudomonadota bacterium
Lineage: Bacteria; Pseudomonadati; Pseudomonadota
Also listed under: 2 other names
Description: tRNA-Arg
Rfam family: tRNA
About the family: Transfer RNA (tRNA) molecules are approximately 80 nucleotides in length. Their secondary structure includes four short double-helical elements and three loops (D, anti-codon, and T loops).
Source: RNAcentral
GCUCCCGUAGCUCAGGAGGAUAGAGCAGUAGUUUCCUAAACUAUGUGUCAGAGGUUCGAGUCCUCUCGGGAGCA